GCCAUACCCAAGAAUUGGCACAAGUAUCACAAACCACUUAUUAAACAGCAGGGUGUAAGCCAAGCAUAAGAUACUGCAAAGUGUACCAAGAAAAUGCCAACGCCUUGUUGCUGGUUUUGAGUGUUGAUUCAUGUAGUAAGGCCAAAAUUCCUCCAUGCUUCUGAAAUUCAUAGCUCCCCAAAACUGCAAACUUGGAGUUCACAAUCAAAAAACCCAGAAAUCUAAUCAACAAAUUAAGGUUCUGGGUAUGACAAAAACACAAACUUU
This 267-nucleotide unclassified non-coding RNA is filed under the name Hevea brasiliensis (rubber tree). Lineage: Eukaryota; Viridiplantae; Streptophyta; Magnoliopsida; Malpighiales; Euphorbiaceae. The record is from RNAcentral.